Micropterus dolomieu (smallmouth bass) is the source of this 459-nucleotide long non-coding RNA. RefSeq lists it as uncharacterized. The record is from RefSeq and is a predicted model, not a curated record. The transcript has 4 exons. NCBI's taxonomy places the organism in Eukaryota, Metazoa, Chordata, Actinopteri, Centrarchiformes, Centrarchidae.
CUCGGUCAGCUCGCUCAGACCUGACUAAGCGAAGCGGUCAGACCGGAGGUAAUAUCUGCGUCGCUGUUCAAGGACGGUGACAACUGAGGUAUCCCAAGGGGCUGAAAAGUUACACCCUGGUCGCUUCAUUUCUGCUGGACAGGUCACCUGCAGAUUUGGAGUCUUCCGUAACCAUGUACUUUUCACCAGUAUCUGACUGGUCUGGAUUACAACCACCUUGUCCACAGUCCAGCCAGGAGAAAAGCUGAUGACACAAUUCAGUACAGCAAGGUGUACAGACCUGGAGUUACAUCGCAGACCUGGAGUGCCGGAGUGCCAUCCUGCUCUGAUGGUUGUCUACUACUGAGGAGUGCUGAGCCCGAGCCCUGUUGCUGCAGCGUCAGCCAGAAGGUGUCACUCCAUCUACAAGGGUUUUGCUCAGUGUCUGAUGGCUCUAGGCGAUAGUCUGACGGACAGCGC